This 245-nucleotide ribosomal RNA is filed under the name uncultured bacterium. RNAcentral describes it as "partial 16S ribosomal RNA". It matches the Rfam family "Bacterial small subunit ribosomal RNA", at positions 528 to 772 of the family's 1533-position model. The record is from RNAcentral.
UAGGUGGCAAGCGUUAUCCGGAAUUAUUGGGUGGAAAGGGUGUGUAGGCGGGACUUUAAGUCAGACGUGAAAAUCAAAGGCUAAACCAUUGACCUGCGUUUGAAACUGGAGUUCUUGAGAGUGGGAGAGGUAAACGGAAUUCCUGGUGUAGCGGUGAAAUGCGUAGAUAUCAGGAGGAACACCGGUGGCGAAGGCGGUUUACUGGACCACAACUGACGCUGAGACACGAAAGCGUGGGGAGCAAA